Molecule: RNA transcript, 2626 nt
Organism: Artibeus jamaicensis (Jamaican fruit-eating bat)
Lineage: Eukaryota; Metazoa; Chordata; Mammalia; Chiroptera; Phyllostomidae
Gene name: sperm mitochondrial-associated cysteine-rich protein
Exons: 4
Source: RefSeq, a predicted model, not a curated record
CAUGUUUUGAACAUCACGUCUUCUCCUUUCUCUUCCUCUCCCCUCCUCCCCACUGCUCCCCUCUCCUCCCCUAGGCCUGUCUUGUGCCAUGGCUGGUGCCUGCUCUACCCCCUGUACUUGCUCAAUUCCACCCCUUGUACCAGGCCUAAUCUGCUGCUUGCCAGUUUGUUAGCUCUCCUGAUGAAUGAAUUUGUGUGUGGAUGGCCCUGACUAGCCACAGUGCUGCCCAGAUCCCACAUAGAAGAAAGCCUUGAUUGUGAAACACGGGAUUUUAAGAACUAGUCUACACAAUUCUAGAAAUGUCUUCCCUUACUCCUCUAAACAUGUACGUUUCAUGAAUUCAACAAAUCUUCAUUAAGCAUCCAGUGUAUGCCAAACACCAUAUAAACCCAGGCAAUACCCAAUUAUGGUUCCUGCCCUUGCAGACCUCUAGGCUGGGGGAGGAGUCAGAUGUCAACCAAAUAAUCCAUGACACUGCAAGUGAUAACCAGCAUGGAGAGGCAUGAGGUACUAUGAGAAUGGUUAGUAGCAGGAUUUCCCACCCGGGCAAGGAGAUCAGGAAAAGCUUCUAGGAAAAAGUGAGGGGAAGAGUGGAGAGAAGGGAGGGCAGCAGAAGAUUAUGUGUAAAGGCCCCCAAAUUGGGGUCCUGGCCCCCAGCCACUGGUGCCUCAGAAAGAGGAGGGACCCUCCAUCCCUGCUCCCUGCCUAGCUUUGGAUAUGCUACAAAUGAAGGAUGGCCAAAGCAAGACACUGGAACAUCUGGUGACCCUGCCCUGGAAUGACUCCGCCCAUUCUUUCAUCUUCUCCAGAAAGGGAAACAGAGGCACAGGCAAGGAAUAGGAAUCCAUAGGUUUAGGCCUGAGAUUAUACAUGGAAAGCAAGACCCCACAUUGCUGGCAAAGCCCUCAGGGUGAAUCUGCCUAGCUGGAGUCUCACCAGAGGCUCUGCUGAGCUGUCCUACCACGAACCCCAUCCCCUCUCGGAUCCAGCCCUAACCUGCCACACUCCUGGAACAAGGAGCAUGUCUGCCUCCAUAGUUGCCUAGAGUGUGAGCGGACUGCCUCCUCUUCUGCAGCUGCCUGCUUCUCCGUGAGAUGAGAGACUUGGGGGAAUUCAACUCAAUCCAGUUCAGCAGUUAUUGAGCAUCUGCUAUAUACCAGGCACUGAUAGGUGCUCUAAAUACAGAAACUCCUCUUCUGCAGCUUUUGGAAUGGAAACUCUUCUCAGAUCCUCUUCCAAGGCCCCUGAAGGACAGCCAAAUAACAGUAAAUGGUGCAGAAAACUUAUUUACAGAAGUAUUUCAACUAACAUGGAAGGAUAUGGAAUCAGAAAAAUUACCAUUUUGCAACCCCUGAUGAAAUAAUGGAUCAAACAAGAAUAUUCAAUGGAUGAAACAAGGAACGUGGUUGAUGGAGAACUCUACAAUGGAGGGAUCAAGUUGUCACCACUGGCCCCCUGUGGUGAAUCCUAGCACUGUUGAAAGGGGCACAGCCACACACUGUGUGCCUCCUGAUGUCAUGCAGUCUGAAGCACUCAGCUCCACCUACGAAGGGCUCUUGCUAAACGAAAACACUGAACCUGAUUCUAAUAAUAACUCCAGAGCUAAUCUCCAUUCAACAGGAAAUAGUGGGGAUGGAAGAACAAGUUAAAUGACAUAAUGAGGAAGUAAGAAGACACAUCCAGAAUGUGGGAUAUUCUAAAGAAAAUCUGACGCAAUUUCUUCAAGUUGUCAAUGGCUGGGCAGGGUUGGGGGUGGGUAGGUAAGAGGCGACAUAAAAAGACAACCACCACAAGGAACAUAAGGACCUUGUUUGGUUUCUGAUUUGGACAACCCAAUUGUAAAAAGACAUUUUCAAACAGUUGGGGACAGUUAAUUAUGGACUGGAUAUUUGUGAGGCCAAGGAAUCAGUGUUGAUUUUGUUAGAUCUAAAAAUGACUUUGGGGUCCUAUAAAAAAAAAAAGGUUAUUUUCUAGAGAUGCAUACUUAAGUAUGGAGUGAAGUGACAUAUUUAAUUUUAAAUGUUUUGGCAAAUAAAAAAGGGCAGAAAGAGUGGCAGAAUCAAUAAUGUUGAAUUAAGCGUACAAAAGGUUCAUAGAAUUAUGUUCUCUACCUUUGUGUAUGUUUGAACAUUUUUAAAAAGAUUUUAUUGAUUUAUCUUUAGAGGGGAAGGGAAGGAGAGAGGGAGAGAAAUAUCAGUGUAUGGUUGCCUCUCGUGUGUCCCCUGCUGAAAACUGGCCUGCAACCCAGGCAUGUGCCCUGACUGGGAACUGAACCGUGAUCCUUUGGUUUGCAGGCCCGCGCUCAAUCCACUGAGCUACACCAGCCAGGGCUGUUUGAACAUUUUUGUAGUAAAAGUUUUAAAUGAUGCUCCUCUGGUAAAUAUGGUUGGUUCCUAGUAACUCCUAGGACACCUUCCCCACCUGCACUGAAAGACUUCCCAUGUGUGACUCCUCACACACUGACCCCAGCUCUCCCUGCCCUCUACUGGAAGAAUGUACUAUAGAUGGGUUGGGCUCACAGGCUGCCCUUUAUCCCCUGCAGUCUUCUGCUGGCACAUUCCUCAUGUUUAAGACUUUUCCAGAGGUGCCUCACAGCUCUGAAGGGCCAGGGGAACCUUAAAGAAUA